CCGGCGACCGGCGCACGGGUGAGUAACACGUAUGCAACCUGGCCGUGACAGAUGGAUAACCGGGAGAAGUCCCGCCUAAUACAACAUAAUGCCGGGAGGGGACAUCCCCUGCCGGCCAAAGGGGGCGACCCCGGUCACGGAUGGGCAUGCGGCGCAUUAGGUAGUUGGUGGGGCAACGGCCCACCAAGCCGACGAUGCGUAGGGGUUCUGAGAGGAAGGUCCCCCACAUUGGAACUGAGACACGGUCCAAACUCCUACGGAAGGCAGCAG
This 270-nucleotide ribosomal RNA is filed under the name uncultured bacterium. RNAcentral describes it as "partial 16S ribosomal RNA". It matches the Rfam family "Bacterial small subunit ribosomal RNA", at positions 88 to 354 of the family's 1533-position model. The record is from RNAcentral.